UAGGCAUGCAAGUCGAACGAUCCCGCAAGGGAUAGUGGCAAAAGGGUGAGUAACACAUGAGCAAUUUACCCUUAAGUGGGGAACAACCUUGGGAAACCGAGGCUAAAACCGCAUAAGACCACGGCAGGGCAUCCUGCUGUGAUCAAAGAGGGGGACCGCAAGGCCUCUCGCUUAGGGAUGAGCUCGUGUCCUAUCAGCUAGUUGGUGAGGUAACGGCUCACCAAGGCUUUUGACGGGUAGCUGGUCUGAGAGGAUGGUCAGCCACAUUGGGACUGAGACACUGCCCAGACUCCUACGGGAGGCUGCAGUCGAGGAUCUUUUGCAAUGCCCGCAAGGGUGACAAUGCGACGCCGCGUGUGUGAUGAAGGUCUUCGGAUCGUAAAGCACUGGCGGCCGGG
Molecule: ribosomal RNA, 398 nt
Filed under: uncultured bacterium
Lineage: Bacteria
Description: bacterial SSU rRNA
Rfam family: Bacterial small subunit ribosomal RNA
Source: RNAcentral